RNAcentral lists this long non-coding RNA (3029 nucleotides) under Coffea arabica (coffee). Its description in RNAcentral is "long non-coding RNA (CARA_LNC006712)". The record is from RNAcentral. Lineage: Eukaryota; Viridiplantae; Streptophyta; Magnoliopsida; Gentianales; Rubiaceae.
AAAGGGAGGGUGGUUUACACGGUGGAAAUGCAAGGACGGACUGAAGUCAGCGGACAAGGACGGCAAUGGAUUCAUCGAGGAUGACGAGAUGAGCUACCUCAAAGAUUUUGCUCUCAAGCAUCUCGGUAUCAAAAUUGUAAUAGUUUAAGCCGAUCGACUAGGUCUUCGAUCUUGUGCAUGUUUUCCGUGGAACAGUUUAGUUAAGGGUUUCUUUUUUUAUCGCUACACCCUUGACGUAUCCUAGCCUAGGUGAGUUUGGCUAAGUCAUGUAUUUGGCUGCUGUGAACCACGUCGUGCUUGUACUAUCAAGUCCUUGUGUGGCUUGCAAAUGUAAAAAUUAUCCCAGUUGAAGUUGCUAAUUUGGCUAGAUUUCUCCUUCUAAUUAUUGAAGGUAAAAGAUAUUCAAAGUGACCGAGGGAUUUAUUGUGAUACCCAAAAGAUUCCCAUAUUAGGAAAAAAAAAAUUGAUAUGUAAGUCCAAACUCAUUAUAUGUUAUUUACGUUCAAAUGUUAUUGGGCCAACCCUCGAAUUUGGAUCGUUAUAAUAUCUAAUUACAAUACUUAUAUUGCAUGGAUUGCUUUUCAAAAAGUACGUAAAUAAAUUUGUAUGUAAAUAAUAUGAAUAUAUAUAUUAAAUAUAUAUGUGGGAAAAUAUGAUAUUAAUGUUACACAAAUUUUAUUUUUUUUUUCAAAAAAUUGAAGUGUAUUUUUGGGAAGCAAAAUACUCCAAAAGCUUACUAGAUGUUUGAUAAGAUUAUGUGAAAAAUAUGAGUGCUUUAUACAAGUAUUUCUGAAAGAGUUCACUUAUAGGAAAAAACGAGUUAAAUAAUACAAAAUGACUAAGUGAUAGAUACGAAAAUGAAAACUUCUAAAAAUCAAGAGGUGAGUUAUCUUUUAGUUUUUUUAAUUGUAUAUUGUUUAAAAUAGGAUUUUCCUUUCUAGAGUUUAUAUCUGUCAUAUAUUGCUUAUAUUACGAUACGAAAGUUUACAAAUAUUUACAAACCAGCUAGACUUGGGUCAACUAAAGAGAUUACUUUAAAAGGGAAGUGAUAUUUGCACUCGCCAAUUAGUUUUUAGCACUUUUUGGAAGUUAUAUUUUUAGUGAGUGAAUUUGAGUGCAAAUAUAUUUAAUUACGUUUUUCACUGACCUAUUGAAAUUGGGUAAUUAGCUCAAAACCGAUACCAAAGAGUGGUGAACCAAGCUCUUUAUUAAUCUGUUUGAAAAAUAUGUAAAAGCUGAGACCUUAAUUUGUCCUUAAAAUUUGUAAGUGCCUAUCUUUCGAAAACUGAUAGGAGUAGUGGUUACUACAAACUACAAUUCCGAUAUCGUUACGUCUAAUAGAACUUCUAAAAAUGCGGAACCAACUUAUAUAUAAAUAAAUAUAUAUAUAUAUAUAUUCUGAAAUGCAAUAAUUUUAUCACUAUUUCUUUCUCGAGCAGUUUCCUAAAAAAAUAUUGCUAUAGGCAAUAAAAUUUUUCGUACGUGUCAUAUAUAUAAAGCUUAGUUUACUCUCAAAAUUACUCAAUCCUCAUUAAAAAUAGCGAAGGACUAAAUUCACAUUCUUUAAUGUAUUGAUAACUGUAUUGUGGUAUGAUAACCGCCCCAGUUGUGUAAUUAUAAUGGGAUGGUAUCGAUUUAACAUUUCUCUUAAAACUAUUUACUGGUAACUUGCACCUAAUAAUCAUUGAUAGGAUUGCCCAUAUCAUUACAAUUUGGAAUGUUUCGCAAAAGCCAUAGCGACUCAAAGAGUGAACUGAUAAAGAAACAGAAAAGAUAUCUUGCACAUUCUUUAGUUUUGCAACUUUAACUCUUUGAGGUAUGUACCCUAAAAUAAAAUAAGUGAGAGGUCGCGAGGAGGGUUUGAUCGGAUGAUACAGAAAGAGAUAAUGUAAGUGAAAAGUUUAACUCGAAACCUUUCAUUUAUAUUCUAAAAAAAGUACCAUAUAUAAAGUAACAUAAAGUAAGAUUGGGGUGGCAAAGCAUAAGUGAUUUAUAUGAUUCAAUAUAGUAGAUAUCCUCUUGCGAUUCAUAUUCGUCCAUAUCAAACACAACACAUUGAGUUGGGAUAAAACCAAAGAAUAAAUGCUUAAACUGAUCCUCCUCGUGAAUCAACCGGAAGAAAGCCGUCUUUGGCAUUUUUGUCCCAGUUCUAUAGGUCGUCAACCAAUAACUAACUCACUAAAAUCUGAGCCAACCGUCUGUAUCAAUAAUUGGAUUUACUCUUGUAAGUCAAGCUUUUAGACCACUGUAGAUAGAUUCUUAUUCCGUGAAAGGGUCGCGGUAUACUUUACCUUCUUUUGAAUCAUGAUGCAAGUGAUAUUUUAAAGUAUUACCAACGCAACUAUACAAGCUUUAAGUCGAGUAGUUCUAUAAAUAUAGGAGUAUUUCAGUCACUUUUGCCUACCCCAGUGUAGAGUUAGCAGAUAAUUUGAGAUAGAAUAUUAAUGGCAAUCAUAGACCAAGACAAACCUCGCGAUUUCAAAGGCAAACAUCAAAUCAUGACUUCAGAAGAGUUCAAGAAAUGGCUUAAAAAAUUUGAUAGUAAUAAAGAUGGCCGGAUUAGCAAAGAAGAGCUCAGGGAAGCUAUGCGUGCAAAGGGAGUGUGGUUUACAAGGUGGAAAUAUAAGAGUGGAAUGAAGGCAGCAGACAAGAACCGGAAUGGAUUCAUCGAGGAUGACGAGAUGAUCUACCUCAAAGAUUUUGCUCUCAAGCAUCUUGGUAUCAAAAUUGUAACGUCUUAAGCCGAUAAAUCUUCGUCUUGUGCAUGUUUUCGAAUCGAAUAGUUUAGUAAAAGGAUCCUUUUUAUCGCUACCUUUGAAGUAUCCUAGGUAUGUUUUGCUAAGCCCAGUGGGUUGCAUGUAUUUGGCUACUGUGAACUAGUCGUACUUGUGAUUACAAAUUCCUGUAUGGUUUUGCAACUAAUGAUGGAGAUAUUAGUUUGCUAAUGUAUAAAUUAUCAUGGGUCCAAGUUGCUAAUUUGGCUAGAUUUCUCCUCCUAAUUAUUAUUGAAGGCAAAAGGAAUUUUAAAA